AACGCACCUUGCGCUCUUGGGUCAUUCCUAGGAGCAUGUUCGUUUCAGUGUCGCGUAACCCUCUCAACCCCGCCUUGUUAACUCGAGGUCGUUCAGGGUUGGAUCAUGACGCCUGCUUUACUGCUAAGCUGCGUUGAAAUACAACAAGCUGUACCUUUGUACUGGCGGCUUGACCCGUUGUCAUAAGCUCACACUUUCAAUGGGGACGCCACGUCGGGAUGGGCUUACCACAAAUCAAACUCAUUACUUUGACCUGAAAUCGAGCAGGACUACCCCCUGAACUUAA
RNAcentral lists this unclassified non-coding RNA (286 nucleotides) under uncultured fungus. RNAcentral's name for it is "partial internal transcribed spacer 2". The record is from RNAcentral. Lineage: Eukaryota; Fungi.